GAUGAACGCUGGCGGCGUGCCUAACACAUGCAAGUCGAACGAAGCAUAACGGCUCGAUUUCUUCGGAAUGAAGGUGGUUAUGACUGAGUGGCGGACGGGUGAGUAACGCGUGGGCAACCUGCCUUACACAGGGGGACAACAGCUGGAAACGGCUGCUAAUACCGCAUAAGCGCACGGUACCGCAUGGUAUAGUGUGAAAAAACUCCUGUGGUAGUAAGAGUCGGGCCCGCGUCUGAGUUAGGUAGUUGGCGGGGUAACGGCCCACCAAGCCGACGACCAGUAGCCGACCUGAGAGGGUGACCGGCCACAUUGGGACUGAGACACGGCCCAAACUCCUACGGGAGGCAGCAGUGGGGAAUAUU
This 362-nucleotide ribosomal RNA is filed under the name uncultured bacterium. RNAcentral describes it as "bacterial SSU rRNA". It matches the Rfam family "Bacterial small subunit ribosomal RNA", at positions 28 to 365 of the family's 1533-position model. The record is from RNAcentral.